Molecule: long non-coding RNA, 821 nt
Organism: Ziziphus jujuba (common jujube)
Lineage: Eukaryota; Viridiplantae; Streptophyta; Magnoliopsida; Rosales; Rhamnaceae
Exons: 2
Source: RefSeq, a predicted model, not a curated record
UUUAGGAUUCUGUUAAAGAUAUUGAAAAAAUUGCCACAUUAUCCAGUAGUCAUAAGCUUCUAAUUCAAGUUAAAGCAUCUAAACAUGAAUAUCGUGAUAUUACAAGAUGGAAAUACACAAUCCUUUCUGUUUGUGAUACUAUUUCAAAAGAAAUCAACACAUUAACACAAACAGAUACUUCAAAUGAUGCUGAAGUUAGUCAAGUUUUAGAAAUUGUUGAAGAGCAAAGUGGAAAAUCAUUAGGCAUAAUUGAAUUGAGAGAUAUAUCUGGAAGUGUUGACAAUGCUAAGAUAGAGCAAAUGAGCAAUGAAGAUAAAGUCCUAGCUGAUUUGGUUUCAAAGCCUACUGCAAGAAACAAUGCAACAAAGAAACUAAAGCUGAUGAUUUCCAAAAGUGCAGGUGAGGCAGAUCCAAUAGCGUUGAAUCUUGAAAGUUCUCAUUUACAAUUUGGUGAAGGGAGUAGGAAGCAGUUUGCCGAGCUUAAAGACAAUGCUUAAUUCGUUAUCAUGGGAACCAUCUUUUUGUUAAUGUGGACAUGAUAGAUUACUAUCAGUUCAUAAGUAGAUUAUUAUCAGUCUUUUGUGAAUUUAUAGCAUAUUUAGACUAUACUAUGAUAGUUACACUAAUAUUAUUAUUUUGUACAUUGCAAGAUGUAAUAGAAAUUGAUUUAGGUAUAACCUAAUACAUUUCUAUUAAAUCUUGCAAUUUAUCUUAGGAAGAUAGCAAUGAUGCUAAGAUAGAUUCAUCUAUGACACAAGUAUUUUAUGACAACUUUUUGUUUAACGAAAGUAAAAUAGUAAUUAUGAGUUUUUAUGAUUGUA